Molecule: long non-coding RNA, 5580 nt
Organism: Gasterosteus aculeatus (three-spined stickleback)
Lineage: Eukaryota; Metazoa; Chordata; Actinopteri; Perciformes; Gasterosteidae
Source: Ensembl
AUGCCAGCCCCAAAGAGAGGAGCAUCUCCUCGUGAUUCUCAGCCCAAGAUGAGGAAGUUGGACGAUGAUGGAGAGGAUCUGCCAUCCAAAACUUCACCAGCUGCCAACAAUCGCUCCUUUGUAACUGGAAAUACACAAGAAAAUGCUCCCGACCCGCGGACUAAGAAAAAACUUUGUACUUCAGUGGAAUGGGGGAAUAAACCCGCCAAGUCGUCCAAACCGAGUUCCCCUCCAAAAGAUUCCAGCAGAACCGUUAGUGAUCCACCCGUCAUAAAAGCCAAGCUCCUAAAAGCCACAAGUGCCUCCGGCGGAGAAGCUCCCUCACAGAACGCAAACACCAAAGCCGCCCUGAAGCGAACCGCCUCCACAGAGUCCGAGGAUGAACUGAGUAGUGACGGCAGUAAGGCCGACCUCUUCAGAGAGAGGAUCGAUGGCGACGAGGCCUGCUGCGUGAGAAAAUAUUCUAAUAAAUUCAAAGUCCAGCGCACCGCUGAAGACUCUGCAUCCGACACGCGGGAGGCAAGCGGAGAGUCGCCGCCGCCGCCUGCCCCCGCGGACCCCGUUCAGUUGGAGCAUAACUAUGGUAGAUUUUCUGACUCGAGUGUGGGAGACGAGAAUCAGGGCGACGAUGAAGAAUCUGGACUGUCUGACACCGAACAACACGGGCAAGAAAUGUCAGUUAAUGCCACACGAGCAGAGUCUGAGGAAACUCGUAUCUCUAUAGGAGGGAGUGCAGAAGCCGGGAUUGUAUUUGAACGCACAGCUGAUGAAAGUUUCCGUGAGGAGUUAAAAGAUCCAGAGAGCCAAAAGCUCGUAGAUGAUGACACACAGGCAUCAUGUGGAGGAAUAUUGGCCUCUGUCACUGCAGCAGCUGCAGGUUCGCCUUGCAUCCUGUCUGAGGAGGCGGAGGAUAAUGAAAAGACCGACUUUGUCACCAAAAGCCAAAAGGACUUGGAUAAUGAAUCACCGGCAGUGUCAGUGGAAACGCUGUAUUCUGGAGAGGCAGUUCCAGGCUGUGAAGGUGAAGUACAGGUAGAUGAAACUACGGUUUGUAUAGUUGAGACGGAUGUGAGCUGGGAGACUGAAACAAAGGAGUCCGUUUCUGAGCAGAUAAAGCUGGAUGUCCAAUGUAGAAGUAAGGGAGGAGAGCAUGUGGUGCAGGAAGUGAUAGAAUCAGCCAGUGUCUCUGCAAACCACGGUGAUGUAGAACACAACGUAUUGUUUGACGAAACAAACUCUGCACCAGAGGAGACCUUGGUAGGCAAUAAUCCAGAAAGUCAGACUGAUGAACAUCCAACAGAGACCCGAACAGACGUCGGUGUCAAAAUACAAGUUACCUUCGAAGAGGAAUCCGAAUCAGCGGAUCGAGUGAGCCGUGAAGUGCCAUGCACAGUUACCCAAUCAUGUGACGUUGUGAACAAGCUGGCAACAGAGUCUGAAGAGCAGCUUGAAGAAAGUGAAAGGGGAGCCGCGGAGACGCCGACUCUCGCUGGUCCCGAGUCUUCUGCGGAGCUCCAAGAGAUGCCGGACCUAACGGCCGACAGCUGUACGGAAAUAAUGACUCCAGAUUGCGAGUCUGUCCUCGAGCAAAAUCAAAGCGAGCCCCUCCCCGAUCGUGUCGCAGUGUCACACGGUCCAAGGGAUGAGGACAUGCAGACCAAAAUAUCCCCAGAGGAGCGCUCUGACUUGCCACCUGAAGCGGGAAAACAAAACCAGGGAAGCCACGAAGUUGCAGACCACGCUUCAGGAAUACCGGUUGAAGUCCAAGGCGAGGAAAUGACAGAAAAAGUAACGGAUUUAAGCUUUGAAUGUGCCGCCGCAUCACUAGAGCAGGAGAUUUACAAUCAAGUGGCUGCAGUGGAAAUACAAAGCCAGAAUAACCCCGAUGCCUGUGAACACACCACGGACAUAUCUACCGAAUUCACAGAGAAUCGUGUGUUGAAUUCUAAAAUAAUUGAAGAUAAGGAGGACAUCUUUGAAUGUACUAGUAGUGGUCCUGAGGAAAACACUAUAACUGCAUCGGAGAUUUCUAAUCACGCGUCAAGAGAAGAAUUUGAAAGCCCAAAGAGACCGGAAGACAGUGAACACACCAUGGACGCGCCUGAUAAAGUGCAGACAGUUCAAGCUGAAGGCGAGACCCCGGCUGAAUGCGUUGUUCCUACUGAGGGUCAAAUAGAAGCCAGGACACCGGAGGAGAUUUCUAACAUUGCACCUACAGUGGAAGUAAAAAGUCAGGAAAACACUCCCACACACACAUCUACUGCACAUCAUGAAGAUCACAAGGUGGAAAACCAGUUAAACUUAUCUGAAUCUGUGACUGCACCAGAGAGUCCAAUCCAAUUAGAAACUCCGACAACAUCGACAUCUGAUGUUUCAAAUCUGGAAGCUUCAGUGGAAAUAGUGAAAAGACAAAUAGAGGUGGACAUGCAGACUGCGACGGCCUCCGAGGAGACACCUGACAUGGCACCGACAGUGGAAACAAGUCCAAAACAUCAACAUGAAGGAAAGGUGGAGAUUUCUAACAUGGCGCCUACGGUAGAAACGCAGAACCAGCAGAGCCCAGAAGUCCUUAUUGAACCCGCUACAGACGUAGUUUCUGGACAUCAUGGGGAAGAAAAUAAAGUCAUGUUUGACUCUGUGAAUAUACCAGAGAGGGAAAUGGAAAUGCAGAAUACGUCACCACAAGAGGUUUCAAAUACAGACUCUUCAGUGGAAAUGGAGACUACAACAGCAUCAGAGGAGACGCCUAACACGGCUUCAGCAGUGGAAAUACCAAGUCGGAAACAUCAGCAUGAAGGAGACGUGGCGACUUCGGCAAAAUCAGUGGAGAUUUCUGAGAUGGCGCCUACGGUAGAAACGCAGAACCAGCAGAGCCCCGAAGUCAUCAAAGCUGCUACAGAGGUAGCGUUUAGAUGUCGUAGAGAACAAAACAUGUUUGAAUCUGUGAUUAUACCAGAAAUUGAAAUGCAGACUACAACGCCAGCAGAGGUUUCACAUACAGAGUCUUCAGCGGAAAUGGAGAAAAGGCAAAUAGAAGUGGACACGCAGACUACGACGGCCUCAGAGGAGAUACCGAACACAGCUUCAGCAGUGGAAAUACCAAGUCAGAAACAUCAACAUGAGGAAAAGGUGGAGGUUUCCAACUUGGCACCUACGGUAGAAACGCAGAACCAGAAGAGCCCCGAAGUCCUUCAACCAGCUACAGACGUAGUCUCUAGACAUCAAGGGGAAGAGAACAUGCAGACUACGGCGGCCUCAGAGGAGAUACCCAACGCAGCUUCAACAGUGGAAAUACUAAUUCAGAAAAGUCCAAAUGAGGUCAUCGCAGCAACGGCAGCGGAGAUCUCUAACACGGCGCCUGCAGUAGAAAUGUGGGCCGAGAGGAGCCAAGAAGUCAGCGAUCCUUCACCAGCCUUCAUCCACCUCCAACCAGGUGGACCUGAGAAAGCUCAAGAGGGUCCAACGAUUCAGACCCAUGAAAGCGAUGGAAAUGAAAACAGAGAAAGUGUCACGGUACCCGAGAAUAAAGGGGAUGUGGAUUCAGAGACGACUGCAGCACCAGAGGAGACCUCUCAUCAGCCAACCGCAGUAGAAACAGAAAACGGGACAACCCUGAAGGUCGAUGAAGUACUUAAAGAAUGUAUUGAUGCCAAUACAGAGCGCGAAGAAAACACCGAAGAGCUUCUUGCAGAAUGGGCGCAUGCCACUGACAAUCAAACAGAAAUGGAUGCGCAAACAACAGCGACGGCAGAUGAGGUGUCUAAUCCAUCACCUACAGCGGAAAUACAAAGCCCUGUGAGCCCGGAGGUCAGUGAACGCCACACAGAAGUUCAAAAGCAUCUAGUGGGCGUAAGCUGUGAGCGCGAGGAGACCGAAGACACGGUUGAGGCUGAAUGUGUUGAUGUUCCACAGGAUGAGAUAAAUAUGGACACUUCUGCAACGCUGGAGGAGGUUUCCACUGCGGCGGAACAGCAAAACCAAGAUAUGGAGGCCUCAUCUAAUCAAACUCCCAAAUCUCCUUCCGUGGCAGAAAGUAAAGAUAAUGAAAACACGCCGACGGAGCACGGUGCUGGUGAUGUCCAAGUGGAUAUGGAUGUAGUAAGUGCAGCAAUAGGAGGGACAGAUUCUGCUUCAGAGGAGGCAAGCGGGGGGCGAGAGAUUAAUGAGGUGAAAGAAGAUGUCGCAAUCAUUUCCUCCGAUAAGGCCGACGGUGACGUGGUCGCAGUCGGUAAUAUUGAAGGACAUGCAGAAGGAACCGGAAGCAAUGAAGUAAUGCUUUUUGUUUGUGGCCAACCGCACAACGUUGAUAUCGUAACUCCGGCGGAGGAAGAGCAGAUUAAGACGGCGAGUCAGUCGGGGGUUGAGAUAGUGUAUGAGCCCAUUAGUAGCCCGGAAAGUACCGACGAUCGAGAGAUUUCCACGGCGUCAGAGAACCACAAUGGUUUGUCUUUACUGGACAUACAGAGCGCCCAGCAGCUGGAAGCAGAUUUGCCUACUGAUGAAGGAAACCGUUGUAGCAAACCACUGGAAAAUGUCGAGCAACAGGUUUUCCUUGCAGGCGGCCAAGAAGUUGAAAGUCAAGCGCACACCGUCAGAGUGCCAGAGAGUUGCGUCCCUGCACAGUUGGAGCAGAGGCGCGUGAGCGAGGACGUGAAGCAAGUCGCAGUAAUCAGCUCUAGCGAUGACGUCAGCGUGCCAGAUGGCCACUCGGGAGAUGCCCCGGACACAAGUGAAAGGAAUUGGUCUCCGGACUGCGUCGGCGCCGCAGGGUCUCUGGACAACGUGCAGGACGACUCUGGAGCUCAGGAGGUUUCAGACGUCACAGUGACGACGACGACGUCUGCUGCCGCGGCCAAAGUGGAGAUUCCCGACAGUACGUCAGAGGAGUUUGUGAUCUUGGAAGCGAUCCAAGAGCGAGAAAUUCACUUCGAUAUUGUCACUCAAGCAGCCGCCGAAUCGGGUUUGUCGGACUCUCUUUUGGAGCAGGUGAAUCCAGACAGCGCUGUGGAAGGUGAUGUGGAAAAUGAAAUGAUUUUUAAUGGUUCCCAACGAAUCGUCUUCCCGGAGGCCGAAGCGCAGAAAUGUCCGACAACAGACAAGAUCAAAGUCAGAAAUACGAACGAGGUUUUAGAUCCCGGGAGCAUGCUGACGGAAAUCUCUACCGAGGAAGGUGUUGAAGUUCCUCCGAAUUCCGAUCAGAGCCACUUACCAUCAUGCGCCAUGACGGACAGUGAUACCUCCGAGAUUGAAACGGCGAACGCUCCCGCUCAAGUCACAAAUGAAGACUGCGACGCGCUGGCGACGGAGAACGCUGAGGCUCAUUUGGACCUGCCAGAAGUGCAGAUUCUGGAGGACAUAGAGAUCGGCCGUGAGAUCGUAGUAGCAGAAGAAGAGAACGAUGAAGACGGUGACAUUCAAAUAAUAGAAAAACCCCAGGAAACACCCGAGGCCAUCCCUCCUGAGGAGUCCGAGAAAAGGGUUGAUGAGAAAACUAAAGACGACACUUGUGGGACCAGUUCACAGCAAGACGGCGCUGCUGUAAAGUCUGAAGCAGAAAAAAAAGAGACCGGGGCCGGAUAA